CUACGGGACGCAGCAGUGAGGAAUAUUGGUCAAUGGGCGCGAGCCUGAACCAGCCAUCCCGCGUGCAGGAUGACGGCCCUAUGGGUUGUAAACUGCUUUUCUAUGCCAAGAAACCUGAUUACGUGUAAUCAGUUGCCGGUAGCAUAGGAAUAAGCAUCGGCUAACUCCGGCCAGCAGCCGCGGUAAUACGGAGGAUGCAAGCGUUAUCCGGAUUCAUUGGGUUUAAAGGGUGCGCAGGUGGGCUUGUAAGUCAGUGGUGAAAUGCUGCCGCUUAACGGUAGAACUGCCAUUGAUACUGCGAGUCUUGAGUAUGGUUGAGGUAGGCGGAAUGUGUUGUGUAGCGGUGAAAUGCAUAGAUAUGACACAGAACGCCAAUUGCGAAGGCAGCUUACUAAGCCAUUACUGACGCUGAGGCACGAAAGCGUGGGGAGCGAACAGGAUUAGAUACCCCUGUAGUC
RNAcentral lists this ribosomal RNA (458 nucleotides) under uncultured bacterium. RNAcentral describes it as "partial 16S ribosomal RNA". It matches the Rfam family "Bacterial small subunit ribosomal RNA", at positions 339 to 795 of the family's 1533-position model. The record is from RNAcentral.